Molecule: ribosomal RNA, 249 nt
Filed under: uncultured Actinomycetales bacterium
Lineage: Bacteria; Bacillati; Actinomycetota; Actinomycetes; Actinomycetales
Description: partial 16S ribosomal RNA
Rfam family: Bacterial small subunit ribosomal RNA
Source: RNAcentral
CGGAGGUACUCGAGUGGCGAACGGGUGAGUAACACGUGGGUGAUCUGCCCUGCACUCUGGGAUAAGCCUUGGAAACUGGGUCUAAUACCGGAUAGGACCAUGCUUUAGUGUGUGUGGUGGAAAGUUUUUUCGGUGUAGGAUGAGCCCGCGGCCUAUCAGCUUGUUGGUGGGGUAAUGGCCUACCAAGGCGGCGACGGGUAGCCGGACUGAGAGGUUGGUCGGCCACAUUGGGACUGAGAUACGGCCCAG